RNAcentral lists this ribosomal RNA (877 nucleotides) under Microbacterium sp. T-43. Its description in RNAcentral is "bacterial SSU rRNA". It matches the Rfam family "Bacterial small subunit ribosomal RNA", at positions 40 to 923 of the family's 1533-position model. The record is from RNAcentral. Lineage: Bacteria; Bacillati; Actinomycetota; Actinomycetes; Micrococcales; Microbacteriaceae.
CGGCGUGCUGACUCAUGCAAGUCGAACGGUGAAGCUCCUGCUUGCUGGAGUGGAUCAGUGGCGAACGGGUGAGUAACCCGUGAGCGACCUGCCCCGAACUCUGGGAUAAGCGCUGGAAACGGCGUCUAAUACCGGAUACGCACCAGAGCGGCAUCGUUACUGGUGGGAAAGAUUUUUUGGUUCGGGAUGGGCUCGCGGCCUAUCAGCUUGUUGGUGAGGUAACGGCUCACCAAGGCGUCGACGGGUAGCCGGCCUGAGAGGGUGACCGGCCACACUGGGACUGAGACACGGCCCAGACUCCUACGGGAGGCAGCAAUGGGGAAUAUUGCACAAUGGGCGGAAGCCUGAUGCAGCAACGCCGCGUGAGGGACGACGGCCUUCGGGUUGUAAACCUCUUUUAGCAGGGAAGAAGCGAAAGUGACGGUACCUGCAGAAAAAGCGCCGGCUAACUACGUGCCAUCAGCCGCGGUAAUACGUAGGGCGCAAGCGUUAUCCGGAAUUAUUGGGCGUAAAGAGCUCGUAGGCGGUUUGUCCCGUCUGCUGUGAAAACCCGAGGCUCAACCUCGGGCCUGCAGUGGGUACGGGCAGACUAGACUGCGGGAGGGGAGAUUGGAAUUCCUGGAGUAACGGUGGAAUGCACAAAUAUCAUGAGGAACACCGAUGGCGAACGCCGAUCUCUGGGGCGUAACUGACGCUGAGGAGCGACAGGGUGGGGAGCAAACAGGCUUAGAUACCCUGAUAGGCCACCCCGUAAACGCUGGCAACUAGUUGUGGGGAGCCUUUUCACGGUCUUCAGUGACUCACCUAACGAAUUAAUUCCCCGCCUGGGGAGUCCGGCCGCAACGGCUAUAUACUCAAAGGAAUUCACGGGCACCCA